UCGUCACCUCCCACCACCACUCCCGCACUGGUUUUUGGGCGUCCCACAAAAAUUCCCCCCGUGUGCUCGAUGUAUUCCUCCUCCGCCGCCAUCUGCCGCCUCCGCUAAGAUCUGAGGCCCCCCACUUGUGGGCCGCCGCCGCCGCAGAACCCCGGGAAGGGCAGGGCAGGGCGCCGUCUUCCUCCGCCGCCGCCAUCUGGUCCCCCUCCGCUCCCAUCUGCCGCCGCUGCUGAUCCUAAGAGACGUCGCCGCCGUCGCGGAUCGGCGGGACGCCGCCGCCGCCGUCUCCUCGGAUCACCAGGACGCCGCCGUGAGGCCCGACCCUGAAAGGGGGGGGGGGGGGGGGCAGGGGGGCGGCCGCCCCGGGCCCCCGAGGCCGAGGGGGACCCCCAGGACGUCGUCCUCUGUACCGCGCCACGCUGAAAAUUAGGUCGCGAUUAAUCAGGGCCUAUUCCAUCCUCGAUUCAUCCUUCCGAUCUGACUAUCCACGAUGCCACCGCCGGUCCGCUCUUCCUCGUACUUCUUUGAGUUCUUUCGCCUUUCCAUCCGCCGCGGGCAUCAAGAUUAUGAACUUGCGAUGGUCUUGUUGUCAUCCGUGGAGACAGGUUGCCUCUCAUGGCAAAGCUUCUGCCUGUAGUCGCUGCUGCUGCUGCUGUGUGGUUGAAGUCCAUGCUCUUGGUGGCUACCCCCCUAACGGAAGGGGCCAUGUUUUCGUUUCGCCCCGGGCCCCCAAAAUCUCAGGACCGGCCCUGCCGCCGUCGCAGAUCACCAGGACACCGCAGUCGCCUCGGAUCCCCACACGCCGCCAACAUGGCGGUGACAACUGAUGAGCACGCUCCGUCUCCAGGAAAUGUAUUUUUGAUCUCAGCUUCUAAUGAUGAAAAGAAGUAGUCAAGAAUAAAAUUCGAAAUAAAGCAACACGGCUGAAAUUCCAAUAUAUCUAUAAAUUACAACGGUUAUUUCCGCCUGGUAUUCGAUCGAGCAUGGACGGAAAUUGCGAGGAUGUGUCUGGCCAUUUUGUUUUUUAUUUUAUGCUCUGAUGGAACGGUAAAAGACUGGUUCAUCCGGUUUGCGUGACUAUAGGAGUACCCCCGAUUUUCCGGAGUUCUUGCAGCCAACCAGAUCCGCGCCGCCGCCUCUGCUCCCGCCCCCAUCACCUCCUCGGCCUCUCGGUCCUGGCCGGCCGCGCCCCCUCUGCACGACGCCUCGCCGGACACCGAUCUCGCUCCGCAGGACUCAUCUCCGCCGGUCUCGUCAUCCUCUCCAUCACCGCAGUCGUCCACGUCGAAGGCACGGACAUCGGAGGCAGUGAGGCGACGGCUCGCGGCGAGGGAAGCACCUCGGAUCCACUCGAUCCCGCACCUCCACCGACCGCAGCCACCUUCGUUCAAUCCACCCCUCCACGGUCCCCGCAAGAUCCCACGUCUUCACCGUCCGCCACUGCCCGACCCCUUACUCCUUCCGGCAAUGCACAUAGCUACAUGUCCUCCUUACUGCUUCUGGCUACCUCACAAUUUUAAUCUGGUCCAUGGAACAUGAAAAACUGAUUUCCGUUCAAUGGUGGCAGAGAGAUAUUAACUCAGGAGCUGCUGGACAUUUCCACCGUAAUGGAGCGUAUCAGCGGAGGUGGACGACAGUAAUAGGGGAACUGGAACAAGCGCCGGAAGCAGCUGUGAACAUAGAUGCACAGUUCUGCGAGGAAGAAACCAGGGUGUACAGAGGAAGGGCGAUCUCACCCCGGGUCUCCAAGCUAUUGACUGGGAAGAUGAACCCCAGGCAGCCGGGCUAGAUUGGUUUGCACAUAACCCGUAAAACUUACCGAUUUUAAUUCGCCUGGUACAGGUCCUUAAUGAUUCAGUACGUUAUAUCGGUAUUGAGUGUACUAGCAGUCUACAGAUAGAUUUGCGUCUGUAUGCUGAGCUUGUUCUGAGGAUAAUAUUUUUUUGAUUGAAUCCAAUGCAAGGUAACUAGUAGAAAUACAGUUGUACUACUAAUGACAGUCUCGCUUUUGGGAAGUUUUUUGAUGGAUAUUUAGUUGAGGCAGCUAUUUCUACCGUGGAAUAACUGUAAUUUAGCUAUGUGACACUGAUGAAUUAUAUAAAGUUCAGAAAUGCAUGUAUGUCGAUUUAAUUUAAUGGACAUGAUCUUUUAGGUUGAUUUCAGCUGAGCAAUAGGAAACAUGGGUGCAUAGUAAGGAUUGCAUCGGCGCACCAUGCCCUUCUCGGGCGACAUCUCUUGAGAAAGCGAUAAGGGCAUUCGCUAACGAUCCAAUACAUAAUGUGAUUGUACCAGUGCUGGGGACAAGUUCUGACUCUUUAUGAGAGAGGCGUGUGGUUUUUACAAUCUAAUCACUUGGGAGAAAGGUUUUGGGAUCAGAUAUUGGAAAUGCAGGUCAAAUGUUGAGAGGACAAAAUGUAAUUAGGAAAUAGUGUGUCCAUAUGUGGGUAAAGCAGGUGCGUAAAACACACGAUCUUGCCGGUACCCUGCUCUAAUAAAUUGCUUAGAUCAGAGCACAGGGGCUAAGAAGUACAUGAGGCUGCAAUUUGACAGUGAGUCUGAGGAGAACUAUGUCGAGGAGAUGACAAGAAAUGGGAGUCCGCUAAUGAGAGCUAACCUGGCCACUGAAUGGCAUGCGAUCAAGACACACACAAGCGCUAUGUUUGAUGAAAAUUAGAUCUUGUAUGAGUGUGGACUGUGGAGCAUACCAAAGUUGAAGAGAUUGAGAAACACAAGUCAUGUCCUGGAGGUACUGGACUUCAUGCGUGUGAAGCGAUGCUCACAACAUAGGAACCAAUUGCAUAUAAUCUGUUCUCCUACAUGCACUUCAGAAUGUGCAUAGAGCUUCUUCGGCUUGGGGACACAAAUUUUGAUGCGUACGAUUGUCUGGUUUAUUUGUUGAAGGCAAAUUUGGUGGACAUGAAACCUUUUGCUGAGGUGAGAGAUGGGCUUAGUUUGGAAGACCGGCUUGCUGAAAAUGGAGUAGUUGUCAAGCUGUUGAAAAUACAUACUAUGUGUAGAUCGCAAAACUCAAGAGCAUCCAGCAAAUGCUGGUAGUGGUGACAAUGUUUCAGUAAUAUACUAGGAAACAGGUUAGCAUAACUAUCAGUGCCAGGCUACCAGCUACAAGGAAAGAGAAUGACUGGCCAAUGACCAGCAGGGAGAAAGCCCCUUAGGAAGGAUUGAGUAAGAGGACCAAUUUCUGCAGCAUUUUCUGCCGCCAUGGUCACAAAAGGACUACAUGGACAGACAUAGGUGAUGCUCCGAAACAUCUUGCAAACUGGGCAGGUGCAAUAGCUAUGGCGUCGAGGGACAGAAAAGGAACAAUUUUACCAAGCCCAUAGAAUUUAGAUUGCCAAUGGAAACUAAAAUGAGUGCAAAUUAUGAGACCUUUUUUGGUUAGUAGUUAGUGUUACUUUCUCAAUACUCGAGUCAAGAUUCUUCCUAAUGGUCACCAUGGGAUCGACAAAACUCUUUAGGUGGCGGAGAAGUUUGAUAUGAGCCUCUAAGGUUGACGAUUCUGAAGUUAUUGGGUUUUUGCUUCCAACUGAAAUGAUUCCUUUAUAUCUGAGUACUAUGGAGAUGGGCUGUGAACUUACCAGAACAUUAUGAACUCAACUCCUUCUUUGAAUUUAAUUCUUCUAUGAUGCUUUCCAAAGCCGACGAUGACCACGCUGUGGACCCACAUGGCAGAGGAAGGGGAUGCCCGAGACUGAGAUGAUGGCGGCGGUCGCGAUGCAUAGCUGCAGGAGUGGACAACAAAGACAAAUACUCCCUUGGAUUCGUCGUGAUUCUGGAAUGGGAGGCAGGUCGCUGCUGCUACCGCCCAUGAAGCUGACGAUGAUCAGUGGCCGUCAUGCAGCGGCGAGGUGGCGGUUGUGGAGGGGAGGGGAGACGCGCGGGCAAAAACCAACACGACGAAGGAAGGGGAUGCCUCAGGUGGCGAUGGUCAUGACGGUCACUAUAUUGUGAUAUGUUAUUUGCAUAUAAAUGAUUCAGGGGACCCUGAUUGUUCGAAGAUGGGGCCCAUCUCUUUCUAAACUGCAAAGAAGUGAAGGAGCAAUGGUAUGCCUUGCUGCUGGAGGAAAUCCGGAUCAGAGUGUAAUUUAGCACAUGACGUCAUGAGAAAAAUUCUGAGGUCGCGGAGAAGGAUAAGUUGCUCACUAUUUGAGUGUGGGCCGAGAAAUUUUUGAAACAGACUCGAUACUCAAGCAAGCUGUGAGCUUUACUGCUGGGUAUUUUCUUAUGUGAUAUCAAGUACCCACUACUAUAAGCGUACUUUAUUCAUUGAUUGAGGCUAGAGUGAUUCAUGCUCCAAGGGGAUGUAACCAACCAUCUAAUGUGCUGGCAGCUUUGGGUGCAGGAUUAGACAAUGGUGAUCAUGUUUAAUGGUUCUCAGACUACAUUGAGGUUGUAGCCCAUGUUGUAAUCGGCGAUUUAGCCGUAUACUCCUUUCGUUCCUAAAUAUAAAUCUUUUUAGAGGUU
Molecule: RNA transcript, 4482 nt
Organism: Triticum aestivum (bread wheat)
Lineage: Eukaryota; Viridiplantae; Streptophyta; Magnoliopsida; Poales; Poaceae
Exons: 11
Source: RefSeq, a predicted model, not a curated record